GCCAAACUGCAGAUAUGCCGACCUGUCGUGACAUUUCUAGGACAGAGGGUUUCCAGAAAGGGUCACUCCCUGACUGCUGACACCAGAGGUUGCAUCCUGAAUCACCCGAAGCCAACUACCACGGAGAAGGCUUCAGAACGCAGCUGCUUUGUGACUUGGAGGACGAACCAACCUUUUCUGAAUAAAACUUUUAAAAGGACGCCA
This is a long non-coding RNA of Trichomycterus rosablanca, 204 nucleotides long. RefSeq lists it as uncharacterized. Lineage: Eukaryota; Metazoa; Chordata; Actinopteri; Siluriformes; Trichomycteridae. The record is from RefSeq and is a predicted model, not a curated record. The transcript has 2 exons.